AACAGCUGGAGGUUCUCUCCCCACAGUGUCUCCUGAACCCCAGCUGGAGAUGAUUCUCAGACAAGAGGAAAGAGUAUAAAAAUGGGAGACAGCUGUCCCAACUUAUUCCUCCUUUUCUCUCUACUCAUAGCAGCCACAACAUCUGAGGAACAAAGAAACAGCUUAGGACUGAGAGAGGGAUCCUGUCUGAAAGGAGUUCAGACAGUAAGACUGCUGAAGCAUGUGAUCGAUAGGCAGCGAUAUGUCCAGCAGGGGGGGUCGAUAAAUCGACUGCCGAUUGCUCUAGUGUCGACUCUGGUACUCCACCUCAACAAGAAGCACAAGGGGAAUCGAUGGGAGAGCGUCUCUCGUUGACACACCUCAGUGAAGACACCGCGUCUUACCUCUAAGAGUCCAUACUGGGCCUCCUUAUGAAUCCACAAGACAACACAUGGUAUCAGAAGUGGAAUAAAAGUGAGGACAGAGAAAAGAGGACUGUGGUGAAUAAGUCAACUUGGAGAUGGAGCAACUAAAAGCCCCAAAGAGCGUGCAUGCGUGUGCACACACACAAGCAGCUGGCUUUGGUGAGAAAAAAAAAGACCAGCAGAAUAUAAUUUCUUAAAUGUUGCAGUGGACUUAUUUAAUAGAAUGCAAAUAAAGCAAAUUAUGAAACUAUUUUGCAGAAAUUUGAAGAGUAUUGCAUACUUUAAAUAGGUAUUUGGAAAAAAAAAAGUAUAUUUGAAUGGUAUAAAUUUCACCUUACAAGACAAAAGGAAGGAGAACCCUUUGAAAAAUUCCUAACAGAGCCAAAGCUAAAUAAACCAAACCUGCAACCAUGGACAGUUAGAGUCAAUUAUAAGGGAUCAAAUUGUAAUUGAAAUCAGAGAUCGAAAGCUACAAAAAAGAUAAUUGAAAGAUAUGGAUCUCAUUUUGGAUAAAACAGCAAGACUGUUCGGCAGCAGAAAUCACUCUGAACAGAAUAAAAAUAAUGGAAGGAAAACAAGACACUGCCACUCUACAGAGUGACAAAAAAGAGAAAAAUGGCAAGCAGUAAGUCAGUGCAAAACAAAAACCACAGACAAACAUGAAAAAAGCAAAGCACAACUUAAAAGUUUGCACAAGAUUUUGACACAAACACAGACCUUUUCAAUGUCCAGUUCUGGUAAGCGCUGCAAUAUUUGUAAGAAAUACAAUCAUUUUGCCAUCUGCAACCAGGAUCAACUACAGAACAAGAAGCAAAGCAUGCAUGCUAAUUCAAUAAUCCAGGUAGACAGCACAGAGCAACACAGAAGAGGAGUUCUAUCUAGGAGUUGUAUCUGAAGAGGAGGGGACAGAUGAAUGGACAAUUUCUUUAGAGACUAAUUGGAUUCCUAUAACCUACUAAUUAGACACUGGUGCUCAGCUAAAUGUUGUUUCAGAUAAAUUAGUAUCAAAAGGUUUAAGAAAAAACAUGGAAAAUGGUGAGCAAACAGGUUAAACUGAAAGCUUAUAAUGGAGAACUCAUUUCCACUAGAGGUACAUGUGUACUAGAAGUGAAGGUAAACGAUCAAAAAGAAUUGAUAAAUUAUGCAAUAGUUAAAGAAAAUAAAGCACCUAUAUUGGGUUUAAAAACCAUGCCAAGACCUUAGGCUGAUCCAAAGAGUGUACGUGGUACAAGGGAUAAGGGACACAGGCACAGAGAAACAGUAUCAGAACGUUUUGGAAAGUACAGGAAAAUUAGCAACUGAAUAUAGCAUUCAACUAACAGAGUCAAAUUGUCCUGCCAUUCAUUCCCCUAGAAAUAUUCCUCUAAGUAUGAGGAAUAAAAGCUCAAAGAACUGGAUGGUUUAGUAAAAGACAUUAGAAGAACCACCUACAGAAUGGCUGAACUUAUUAAUAGAAGGAAAAAUAGGAUGGAACACUGAGAUUACACCUAGAUUCUAAGGAGUUUAACAAAUAUAUCAAAAGGGAACACUUUCAGUUACCUAACAGGGAAGACAUUUUGGGGGAUAUGGCUGGUGCAAUUAUUUUACUACUUUAAAUGCAUCAUCUGGAUUCUGGCAGAAUGCCUUAGUAAAGAGGAGCUCCAAAUUAUGAACUUUUAUUACACCAUAUGGAAGAUAGUGCUUUCUCAGAUUACCAUUUGGUCUAAAGUCUGCUCCAGAAGUCUUCCAUAGAACUGUGCAGUAAAUUAUUUGAGGGAAUUGAAGGCACAAAACUGCAUAUAGAUGAUAGCAUAAUAGAGGAACAUAAUUACAGGUUAAAGACAGCAUUGGAAAGGCCUACAGCUGUAGGUAUGAACCUUAAAAAAAAAAAAAAAAAAGUAAA
Long non-coding RNA from Malaclemys terrapin pileata, 2286 nucleotides. RefSeq lists it as uncharacterized. The record is from RefSeq and is a predicted model, not a curated record. NCBI's taxonomy places the organism in Eukaryota, Metazoa, Chordata, Testudines, Emydidae. The transcript is spliced from 3 exons.